UACGUAGGGGGCUAGCGUUGUCCGGAAUCAUUGGGCGUAAAGCGCGUGUAGGCGGUCCGGUAAGUCCGCUGUGAAAGUCGGGGGCUCAACCCUCGAAUGCCGGUGGAUACUGUCGGGCUAGAGUGCGGAAGAGGCGAGUGGGAUUCCUGGUGUAGCGGUGAAAUGCGCAGAUAUCAGGAGGAACACCAAUUGCGAAGGCAGCUCGCUGGGACGUUACUGACACUGAGGCGCGAAAGCGUGGGGAGCGAACAGG
Molecule: ribosomal RNA, 253 nt
Filed under: uncultured bacterium
Lineage: Bacteria
Description: partial 16S ribosomal RNA
Rfam family: Bacterial small subunit ribosomal RNA
Source: RNAcentral